UCGCUUUGGGAGGAGCUCGCUUACUAUCAGCUUGUUGGUAGGGUAAUGGCCUACCAAGGCUAUGACGGUUAGGGGGUGUGAGAGCAUGACCCCCAGCAUUGGCACUGAAACACUGGCCAAACACCUACGGGUGGCUGCAGUCGAGAAUCUUCCACAAUGGGGGAAACCCUGAUGGAGCGAUGCUGCGUGCGGGAUGAAGGCCUUCGGGUUGUAAACCGCUUUUGUAGGGGACGAAAUUUUUGACGGUACCCUUUCGAAUAAGAGGUUGCUAACUCUGUGCCAGCAGCAGCGGUAAUACAGAGACCUCAAGCGUUAUCCGGAUUUACUGGGCGUAAAGCGUCUGUAGGGGGUUUAUUAAGUUCCAAGUAAAAUUUCAAGGCUCAACUUUGAAUUCGCUUGGAAAACUAAUAAACUGGAGUCUAGCAGAGGUGCAUGGAACUUGUGGUGUAGGAGUGAAAUCCGUUGAUAUCACAAGGAACACCAAAGGCGAAGGCAUUGCACUGGGCUAGCACUGACCCUGAGAGACGAAAGCGUGGGGAGCAAAACGGAUUAGAUACCCGUGUAGUCCACGCCCUAAACGAUGAAUGCUAAAUGUUCGGGGAUUCGACCCCCUGGGCGUUACAGCUAACGCGUUAAGCAUUCCGCCUGGGAAGUACGGCCGCAAGGCUAAAACUCAAAGGAAUAGACGGGGAUCCGCACAAGCGGUGGAGCGUCUGGUUUAAUUCGACAGUAAGCGUGGUACCUCACCAGGGUUUGACAUCCCUUGACAGCCUUGGAAACAAGGUUUCCUUCGGGCAAGGUGACAGGUGCUGCAUGGUCGUCGUCAGUUCGUGCCGUGAGGUGUUCCGUUAAGUCGGGAAACGAACGAAACCCCUAUUGCAUGUUACAAUUUCUCAUGCAAGACUGCCCGGAUAUACUGGGAGGAAGGUGGGGAUGACGUCAGAUCUGCAUGGUCCUUAUACCCUGGGCGACACAGGCGCUACAAUGGCAGAGACAAAGGGUUGCAAAACCGCAAGGUGAAGCUAAUCCCAAAAACUUUGUCUAAGUUCGGAUUGAAGGCUGCAAUUCGCCUUCAUGAAGCUGGAAUCGCUAGUAAUCGUGAAUCAGCCACGUCACGGUGAAUAUGUUCCCGGAUCUUGUACUCACCGCCCGUCACACCAAGAGAGUUGGUAGCUCCCGAAGCGUCCCGUUUUAGCGGGGC
Molecule: ribosomal RNA, 1201 nt
Filed under: uncultured organism
Description: bacterial SSU rRNA
Rfam family: Bacterial small subunit ribosomal RNA
Source: RNAcentral